GGGUUGUGAGGUUAAGCGACUAAGCGUACACGGUGGAUGCCCUGGCAGUCAGAGGCGAUGAAGGACGUGCUAAUCUGCGAUAAGCGCCGGUAAGGUGAUAUGAACCGUUAUAACCGGCGAUUUCCGAAUGGGGAAACCCAGUGUGAUUCGUCACACUAUCAUUAACUGAAUCCAUAGGUUAAUGAGGCGAACCGGGGGAACUGAAACAUCUAAGUACCCCGAGGAAAAGAAAUCAACCGAGAUUCCCCCAGUAGCGGCGAGCGAACGGGGAGGAGCCCAGAGCCUGAAUCAGCAUGUGUGUUAGUGGAAGCGUCUGGAAAGGCGCGCGAUACAGGGUGACAGCCCCGUACACAAAAGCGCAUGUGCUGUGAGCUCGAUGAGUAGGGCGGGACACGUGGUAUCCUGUCUGAAUAUGGGGGGACCAUCCUCCAAGGCUAAAUACUCCUGACUGACCGAUAGUGAACCAGUACCGUGAGGGAAAGGCGAAAAGAACCCCGGCGAGGGGAGUGAAAAAGAACCUGAAACCGUGUACGUACAAGCAGUGGGAGCACCCUUUGGGGU
Molecule: ribosomal RNA, 561 nt
Filed under: Salmonella enterica subsp. enterica serovar Hadar
Lineage: Bacteria; Pseudomonadati; Pseudomonadota; Gammaproteobacteria; Enterobacterales; Enterobacteriaceae
Description: partial 23S ribosomal RNA
Rfam family: Bacterial large subunit ribosomal RNA
Source: RNAcentral